CAUGCAUGUCCAGUUAACAGAUUGGAAGUGGAGCACCAUUCCAUGAGUGGAGGCACUCUAACAAAGGAUCAAUGAUCUCUCCUUUGCUCAUUGCUGUGAAAACCUUAUCGAACUCUUCUCCAGGUGACCGCACUUUUUCUCCUGUAAGAUAUUCAGUUCCCAGCUCUUCCCUCACGAACUUGUACAAUGGGUACGACCUGCACUCCUUGAUCCUGUUUGGGAUUGCUGGAUUUCCACUUUCCAGCGCGGUUCUAGCACUUUCAACUUCUUUAGGCAGAAGGGCCUUUAGCUCAUCCUCAAAUGUCGCGAUCUUUUGGAAGAUGGAGGUGCUCAGGUUCCUCUCACUGUCACCGUUUUUAAGUGCGUGUUCAACCAGUGUUUGCCUUAGUUUUUGCAUCAAUGGGUAGGUUGCGCUGCAGGGAUCAUCAAUGUAUGCGAAGAUAUAUUCGCGGUCCACCACUCUGAGCAAAUCUUUCUCACAGAAUCUUGAGGGAUGGAGUUCACCGUUGACACCAGUGGUGAGUACUCGCUUGGCUACUUGGCUUACAGUGUUUUUGACGGUGUUUUUCAAAUUCUCCUCCAAAUGCCUCAAGUCUAUUGCUUGGCAGAGGCCAACUAAAAACGUGGUAGACAUGAGUUUCAAGAUUUCGACAGCUUCUGAUGUUUUCCUGGAAGAAAUCAAGCCCAAGGAGUUCACAUCUUGAUUGUGUUGUUCAGCACUUUGAACAUGGUUGGUCACUGGAUUGGCUAGAAACUGAAGUUCAGAGCAGUAAGAAGCCAUGGCAAUCUCAGCUCCCUUGAAUCCAUAAUCCAAACUCGGAUUACGCCCUCCAGACAAAUUCGAUGGCAACCCAUUGUUGUAAAAAUCAUUGACAAGUUCUGAAAAUUGAGCAAACAUGAGCUUUCCUAUCGCUGCAAUCGCCAAACGCGUAUUGUCCAUCGACACUCCAAUAGGCGUGCCCUGGAAAUUGCCACCAUGUAUAGCCUUGUUUCUUGAAACAUCAAUCAAGGGGUUAUCAUUAACCGAAUUAAUCUCUCUUUCAAUCAUCUUAGUCGAUGAUCGAAUGACUUCAAUCUGAGGACCAAGCCACUGAGGAGAUGUCCUCAGAGCAUAUCUGUCCUGUUUCGGCUUUUGUAAUGGAUCCAUUUCAUGCAACUUCUGAGCAGCCUUAACAUAAGCACUUCCAUCCAAAAUGUGUUCCAUUAUAGCCGCGGCCUCGAUCUGGCCCGGAUGGUGCUUCAACUUAUGUGUCAAAUGGUCUGUGAAUUCAGGCUUUCCUUGCAUCACUUCCGCGAAAAUCGCUGACAUGACUUCAGCCAAAACAGCCAAAAUAUUAGCCUCAAAAAGCACCAUAGAGGCCAUGCCAGAACCAACAGCCGUUCCAUUGACAAGCGCAAGGCCUUCUUUCGGCUGCAACUCGAAAAAUCCACCUUCCACUCCAGCAAGCUUAAACGCUUCUUCGGGGCUGAGAACGGCUCCGGUGGGUCCCACGGCCUUCGAAUUGGGACGGCCAGUGAGAAGACCAGCAAUGUAGGACAAUGGUACGAGAUCACCAGAAGCAGUGAUGGUACCACGUAGUGGCAAACAGGGAGUGAUGUUCUGGUUCAAGAACUUGGUGAUCGCUUCGAGAAUCUCGAAUCGGAUUCCAGAGUAGCCUUGGAGAAGAGUGUUGAUUCUCACUAGCAUGGCUGCUCUGGUUGCUGAGUGGGGUAAUGUGUUGUCUGAUCCAUUACCAAAUAUUCCAGCAUUCAAGAACCUGUUAGUACAAAGUAUUCAUUGGAUUAGUUGCAAGUUCAGAAUCUGUUACAACUGUAAUAAAUUUAUCACAUGCCUUGAUUAAGUACUAGUACUAGUAUUUAAAUAGGAGUUUCUUUUGUUAUUUCUAUUUCUUUUUUAACAACAGGUGAACUAAAUUAGUUUGGAGAUGCAUAUGGCAAUCAUUGAUAAGACUUGAUAUAUAGAUCCAGAUCCCCCUCAAAGGCGCCGUAGGUGAGUUAUAUUUAAUUUCUAAUUUUUAAUCCUCUUGUAUUUCAGUAAUUCUUUACGUAUUUUUAGAUGACUAGAUUAUACAUUUUACAAUAGUAUUUUUUUUAAUUUUUUUAUAAAUAAAAUAUACUAUAAAUAUUUUUAUUUAUAAAAAUAAUUUUUUAAGUAGGUGAAAUUAUUAAAAAUAUGCAAAAAUAAUUAGGAGAUUAAUAUAUCUAAAUAAAAUAAUUAAUUUUGCCAAAAUUGAGUGGGACACGAAAAGAAAAAAAUACAAACCUAUCCGUUUACUCUUUCCUUUCCUUUUCGUAUUGUAAAGGAUUUUUCUUUAAUUUUUUUUUUUUGACUCUGAUGAACAAAUCUAAGCCACCUAACAGUAACGCCUAUUUAAAUAUUUCCGUCACUAAAUGAAUAUAUGCAGUAAUUAGCAUGGUUGCUGUUUUAAGAUUUUCGUUGGGAUUAAUAUUCUGGGUUCACGUUCAAAAUGUCUCCCUAAGUUUUUUUAGCUAAGAGCAACGGGCUCUCUAAACAAGCUCCUAAGUCUAAAAUUUAGGAGCAAAUCAAAAUUCAGUGCUCCAAUGGGCUCUCAGAUGCUCUUUAAAAAUUUAGGAGCCUACUCUCUCUCCUUUCUUUUAAAGAGCAUCUAGUAGCUCCCAACUCAAUAUUAUAUUAUUUUUCUUUCAAUCUUCUCUAUCUUUUAGUUAACUUUUUUCUCUCAUUUAUAUAAAAUAAAUAUAAAAUGUGAAUAAGGAGCCAAAUAUAAAGAGUAGCAUUGGAGUUCUACGUUUUCCGGUGUAUUAACUUACUAAGAGCCACAUUUUAUAUUAUUGUUUAGGGAAUGAUCUCAAACACACGUUAAAAACUCAAAAUGGUAUUUUCUCAUUGACGCCAUUUUAUUAGAUUUUGUUGAUAUGAUAUAUAGUAAAAUCUGUGGACGUUAAUAAUAUCGAUAGUUUAAAAUUUUAUUAAUUUAUCUAGAUUAAAUAUAACAGAAAAGAAACGUACCUAAUGAGCUCUUUCUGAAGAGCACCACCUUGCUUAGUCCUCCUAUGAGAAGUCGCCCCAAACCCCGUAGUUACACCAUAACUAUCCGUCCCUUUGUUCAUGCUGUCCAUCACCCAAUCACUACUCGCCUUCACUCCCGCUCUCGCCGCCUCCGACAGCUCCACCGUCACGCCACUCCCAUCCCUCGCCGAAAUCGCCGCCACCUGAGAUAUCGUCAAGGUUUCUCCCCCCAACUUCACCACCGGCUUCCUAUACUCCGCCACCAUCCUCUUCACUUCAUCCAAAUGACUCCCCGUCAUCGCCUCCGCCGCCACUCCCCAGUUCAACGGAUCCCCCUUCAUGCACAACUCCACCCCGUUCCCGUUUGCAUGUCCAUUAGCGAUAACACCGUUCUCGCACUCCAUUUUAUGUCACAAAAAUUUAAUAUAACAAAAUUUAUUUUGUACCUCAAGGGGAAAAAAAUGUAGCUACAAGCUGAGAUAUAUGAGAUAUAAGAGCAAGAUGUGUGUGUAUAUAUUUAUGGUUAGCAAGUUCCUGAGGAGUGGUAGCUAAGAGAAGUGGUUUAUAUAGAAGGUGAUAUGAAGGGUAGAUAUAAAAUGUGAUGAUUUAAUAUAUAAUAAAAUAAAAGUGUGUGUUUUGGUAGGUGGGAAUAUGAUUUCUUGGAAAAUAGGUUGGGGGGUGGGUUGAGUGACGGACGGCCAUAUGAGGGGGUUUGUUGGAACUCAUUAUCCGCCGUUGAUUUCACUUGUCUUGCUGUUAUUGGACGGCUGGGAUGUGGGUUGACGUGGACAUGGGUUUGAACAGGAGAUUUAACUCGCUUGGAAUGAGCUUGUGGUGAGAUCACCACCGAGAAACUGCUAUUGCGGUUGGUGGGAAUUUAUAUUUGAUAUAUGAUAAUUGAUACACGUAUUAUUAUUACUGCAUUCGAUCUCUCGUGUCAUUUUUAUGUAUAUUCGUUGCAUGCAAAUGUUUGAGUGUGUGGGAAUGAGUCAAUUUAAUGUAUUAAGUAGAUGUUAUGAGAUAGUAGUUUAUUUCUUUAGAUAUAUAGUGUAUGAUCUUAAUCGGAGACAACUUAAGUCGGUCAUAUAUGCGGAAACGAAAUUAUAUGGUUCAGCAGAUAUAAAAUAAUUUAAAUUAAAUAAUGGAAGACUCAGACAAAGAUGAUUGAAUUAUAUAAAUGAAAUUGGAAGGACUCGAGCUCUUGCUAAAACAAAUUCUGAUAUCAUAUUAAGUAAUCUGUCUAAAACAACCCGAUUCAUAAACUUCAAUAUAUGUUCCAUUAUUAAGAAUCAUGUUUUUGGAUAUUUUAAUAAUAAAUUGAUAUUAUUUCAUUCGAUCAAAAAAAUUGAUAUUAUUUCAUGCAUAUUAUUAAUAGAUAAUGAGAUAGAUAAUUUAUUGGACUUGAUUUGAUUUAUAAGGAGUAUCCUGUAAAAUGAAUUUUGAAUACUGUGGAUGAAUAUCAAAAUUCAAAGCAAUACAUUUCAGUGCUCUUUUUAAGAAUGACGACUAAUUAAGUGCACAAAUUUGAUAUCACUAGCUGAGUAAAAAUACUAUAUACAUAUUUGUUUACGAAGCCCGAGUUCAAAAGCAGUUUAUGUUUUUCUUUCUCCGUUUAGGUAAAAAAACAAUAAAAGUAUUUAUAAAACAUUGAAAAUGUUAGUUUUUUUUUCACGAUUUCUAAUUUUUUGCAAACAGUUUAAUAAUUUAUACAUUUUUUUCAAAUAAUUUAAUAAUUUAUAAGUUUUAACUUGCUUAUCACUUUUACUCUAAUUUUUUUAGUUUAAACUAGAAGUCAUCCUUUUUAGGGGUGAUCGCGGUGCGGGCGGUGCGGUUUUUUCCUAAAACCGCAAACCAAACCGCACAUACGGUUUUAUCAAAAUCUCAAACCGCAACCGCACCACGAAAUUUUAAAACCACAUAAACCACACCACGAAAAUGCGGUGCUGUGUGGUGCGGUUCACUGCGGUGUCCACAUGCGAUAAAACUAACUAAAUAUCUCUAAAUUUGAAGAUAAAUUUCAAAUCUGGAACAUUAAUAAAACUUAACAGAGGAGUCUUAAACAGCAUAGUAGCACACCGAUUAAAGUCUUAAACAGACAGACUGAGAUAGUUGAAGUGGAAAGUAAUUUCAAAUACAAAUAUUAAAAAUAUUAUUUUUAAUUAUNCGCACCGCACCGCGCGGUUCGUGAAAAAUCCAAACCGCAACCGCACCACGAAAAUUAAAAACCGCGUUUUGUGGUGCGGUUCGGUGCGGUUUGGACGGUUUACGCGGUUUGGGCGGUUUUCUGCUCACCCCUAAUUCUUUUAACUAACCCAGACGUCCUGCUGCGAGAGCAUGUCAGAUUUUACCACUUCCCCCUCUUUGGUUUGGUCUACCUAAAUGAAUAAGAUACAAGAAACGCAGGCUUUACAAAUUAAAUAAACUCGACUUUUUUGACCUUUCUCUAUAUUCCCAUCGAGUUCAUGUCUUGGAGCUUUUAUCCCCUUAUCCGAAAAUAAUGGAAAAAAAGAUGAAACUGAAGAAAAAUGACAUUAUUUUGGAUAAUAAAGAUUUUAAUAAAAAAGUUUUUAACAAACUCUGUUUUACUGAAAAAAGGAGCAAUUAGGAAGCUACAAGCAUAUCACACCUUCCUACAUUACUUAACGUGGUUGAUGUUCGUUGGCUGGUAAAGAGUUGUAGUUACUACUAAUUAAAACUCUUAUAUUUGUAAGUUAUAAAUUAUAGGAGUCAUUCGAGACUGGUUUAAAAAAAUGGUGCAAAAUCUCGAAGAAUAAAAAAGAAUAUGGAGGUGGUCCGGUUUGUACAAAUGAAGAGACAAAGGAACUUGAGUCAAACACCACGUGGUUCAAUUUAUUUAUCUGUUGAGGAAACAAAGCUCCGGUAUGAAUGCCAAUUCCCCACAUGAUUUUGUUAUUUUUCGUUUUGGUCUGUUUUUAACCCAUGAUUCAGAAAAUACAUAAACAGUCAUAUAACAAUCUUGUACUACUCCCUCGGUCUCUCUUAUUAUCCUUUUACCUUAUUUUUUUGACACAUUUUUCCAGCACGUUUUCCAUGAUCAUUUGAAUUAUAGUUUCAUAAUAUAUUUUUAAAUUUUUUUCUCUGAAUAAAAAUUUGUUGUUUGAACUUUUCUUCAGAAAAAAAAAUAUUAAAAAAAAAUUAUGAAAUUAUACUUCAUAAGACUAUCAAAAUGCAUGCAUGCUAAAAUAUAUUGACCAAAUUAUAUAAAAUAAUAAUUAUAUAAAAUUUUUCGAAUUAGCUAGUAAAAUAUUAUGCUGUCAUAAUACUAAUCUUAUUAAUUGACUAUAUUUGAAAGUGAGAUAUUAUUAUUAUUUGAAAUUAUUAUAAAUAGAAUAUUUAAAAUAUGACAAUUAACGGUGUGGACUCCGAGUAUUUAAGGGUUGGCUAAAUAUAUUCAAUAAUAAAUAAUUGAUUGUAUUUAUUGCUAAGAAGGAUGGGUUCAUCAGAAUACCAAUUUUUAUGUAUACAUAUAUUUUAUUUAUACUUUUUCUCCAAGUAUUUUUUGACGGGGAGAUGUUGAAUUUGAAACGAUGAAAGAUCGUUCGAUAGAAUAUUAUUGUCUACUAUGAUCAGAUGAGUAAAAAAUUAAAAAUAACUAGUACUAUAUGGUUUAUCUUUCAGCAUGGUUAUAUCUCGUUUUUAAAAGACCUAUAGGUGUGAUAAAAUAGGAAAGGUUGGUGACGGCCAUGUAUACUCCGCUGGCUUUUGCUUACUCAUUUGGCUUUCUUUUAUUUGAUAAUUUUUAAUUAAGCACCUUGCUUAAUUAUUUCCUCAGGUUAUAGAGUAAAAAAAAGAUAAAUAAAUAAUAUACAUACAAAGAAUCAAGGAUACAAAUAUAUGUAGUCAACUAUGUCACAUCUCUCACAUGCAUCUCUGGGAAUACACCACCAGCAGUUUCGGUUAUUAAAACAUUUGAUUAAGCAUAUAACUGAUCAGAAAUUAUGAAGCUCUUUAAUUACUUAACUAAUUCGUAGGUUUAGAAAAAAUAUGAGUGUCCACUCUUAACUCUUUAAGUAAUAAGCCGGCCAUUAAUUUUGGCAACUUGCGUCGAGUUGAAAUAAGGUUCAAUUAGUUAAUGCAGUAUCUGCUGUACCAUGUACAGAACUUCCUAGAUUAACUACUAAUACAGUACUUAAUCGUUAUUAACAACAUCCGCUAGUUAAUUACAGAACUUCUUUUUGGAUUUUUGGAACAACUAUUCUUUUUCACUUGAAUGUUAAGCGGACAUUUUCUGUGAGACAAGAGGAAAAACAUUUUAAGAAUCCUCUGCUGUCUAUGUAUUUUUAUUUGACCAAGUGAUUUUCUCCUAUUUUAUUACCUUGUAAACCUAGCUUAAUCAGUGUUUGCCUUAAUUUAUGGUAAGUAUAUGUAUAUAUGUAUUUAUGUUUUGUUUAUUCAGGUUUAGCAUUGCUGAUUCUUGACUUUGUCAAUUAUCUAUAUCACUUAAAAUUUUGCAUUGCACGAGGCAUUAUACUAUUUCAUAUUUUUCUAAUAUAAAAUUAACUUUUAUAAGACACAUUUAAUCAAUUUUGUACUAAUUAAAUAUUCGAGAAAUUUUGUUAAAAAUAUUUCAAAAUUUUUGUCAUUCUCUUUUAAUUCAAAGAGGUAAUGUUGUAAAGGAAAUAUGCAUACGGACUUAUAAUACUAUUUUAACUACUGCACUUUUUUUUUUUGGUCGCAUGUAAGAUAUCUUUAAGUUGAUAUUAAAUAUUGUACUUCAAAUUUUAUCUACGCUCUAUAUAAUAUUAAAUUUAAAAGGUCCUCGACCCUUCUUUUAUAUUAAGGUUUUGUGUAAAAAACAGAGAUUCAGUAUAUUUGAUCACUUAGAAUCAUCACAUACUGAUUAGAAUCAUCACAUAUUGAUUCCAGGAUUAGUUUAUCUAAAUAAUUAGAAACUAACAUAACAAGCCGUGUAAUCAUCUAAGAUUUGCAGUUUUCAUUUAGAUUCCUUUAGACUUUAGAGCCCUAUUACUAUAGUUAAAUGAAGCAUCUUCAUGUCACUAUAUUCAUCAAUUCAAUAAACAGGAGUUGAUGACUGGCUGCAACAAGUUUCGUCAUCAAUUUGUGGAAUAGUUCAUUAGCUACUGAGAUCAGGUUAAUUAUCCCCUAAAAUUUGAUCAGUCCAAAUAUUUUUACUGUACAAAAAUUUUCAAGGAAAACGAAAUCUAACCUAUCCAAUACAUGCUUUCAAAGAUAUCACCAUCUCAUCACCAAACUUAAUAACAGCCAGAUCAGAUCAGAUGAAACAAGGAGAGAGUCCAAAAAUCACUGAUUAACAUGCAACAAAUUUCUAUUUUAAGCAUUUACUAAUUGAGGUCAAGUGAUAUACGAGCCUCGAAUUGAAAAUAUUAUAAAUAAAAAUUAUAGAGUUAUUUUUAUAAAAUGUGAACCGCAAUAGUGUUGGCUAUACAUUUGUGGAGUUUGAUUUGAAAUUUGGAGCUCAAAACUUAGAAGUUGAACAUGGUUAUAUUAUUUUGUUAAGUAGGUAAAGAGUUGGAGUUGUAUAAAUUUAAUUUAAUCCGUAAAAUGUAAAAUGUGUCAUCUAGAUAAUGUUACCUACAACAUUUUAACAAGAAAUUUUUACCAUCGGACAUGCUCUUACCCAACUAUUUGUGAAAUUGUAUAUUUUUUUAACAAAUUAUCUUUAAUUCUCUGUAUUGAGCACAAAGGGUUGUUUAAAAUUACAGAUCAUCACAAAUAUCUUUCAAAGAUUCUAGCAGCCGAUCUGGAGUUGACUUGGAUUUUGUUCAGCAGGUCAUAAAUCGUAGCGGAGCUGUUUGAAGUUGAACAAGGACAAAAACUUGUUACCAACGAUAAAACUUGGCAGCAAAAGUAGAAAGAGCAUGGUCUAGAGGACCACAAUUUCCACUAAGAUAGUUUGUCGAAGUACAUGGAGCAAAAAGACCUAAUAGUCAACAAAGAAAGCUCAACACGCACAUAGAAGGUUAGGUUUAACAAAUUUUGUGGAUCACAAUCUUCCACUAUUUGUUUUGGUGCUACCUACCAUCUCUCAAAUAUAUUAUCUAUCACAGGGUGGAGGUCAACAAUUAUUUCCAACUGGGACUAUAUAUUAAGUUUUUCAUUCUCGCUGCAUAUAUGUAAUAUUCUCAAAUAAAAUGAGUCCAUAUAUAUUGCUUGGUCCAAGGAUUUUACCACAUGUUCUCAGCCAAACUCUGGUUUUCUGCUUAGAUUGGCAAAGUCCCAUAAGAGAGAAGCACCUUUUUUUUGAGUAAAACACAGUUGAGAGAAAUUCAAAUAUGCACGCACCCAUUUUCUCACUGAACAUUUGACGUCUUUUAGUUCUAAGUCUGGCGGAUGAAGACAACUCUGGUCACGCUUUUACAAGAUGAAAGUAAUAGUAUAUAUAGUCAGGUAUACAAGAAGACUAACGGUAAUGUAAUUCCUAAAGGAAGGGCAUGAAUGAAUGUCAAACAGAAAAAUGGAAUAUCAACAAAAAUAUGAACAAUGUCAAUUGAGAUGUCGAGUUAAGAGUAAAGAACUCGGAUUAUUUGGAUAGCUUUCUGCAAAACCUCGCUAUACAAAUACACAGUGAAGUGUAUUCACCUUUGUACUGACUUACAGAGGUAGAGAAAAAUUACGUGACUGUUUGGGUUAACGUCACUUUAUAAAAAAAAGGGCUUAUUUCGGGAGAAAAGUACAUAAAAAUGUACUUCUUUUCUGAAUCAAGUCCUUAUUGUUUCGUCACAUAAUGAAUAUGAAACACUUUCUUAACAUUUAUGUCUAAAAAUAUUAUAAAAAAAAUGUACAUUUUCUAAAAAAAUAAGCCCUUAAGUUAUGGGCUUUUCAUGCCCCCAAACAGGCCCAUUAUUUAGGACUUCAAGAAGACAUAUAAUCCAUGAAAGUAGAUAAAGAAAAAAAUGAAUGAAUGAAUGUCAAAAUAGGGACAAAAUAUGAACAAUAUCACUUCAGAUUUUCUGUAACUAGUGUUAGUAUUGGAAAAAGAUAAAAUAACUCGAUUUAAUCAGAUAGCUAGCUGCAAAAAUUCCCCAUAUAUAGAAUAUAGAUAUGAUAGAGUAUAUUUUUACAUAUAUUUUAUAUGAUUUUAUUCCUCAUAUUUAUUAUAUUUUGCAUUUAAUUGGAUAUUUAUUUAAUAGAUUUUAAUGUUUUAUUGUAGGAUGCAAGGAGUUCCUAAACUUGGAGGAAAUUAAAAUAAAAAGCUUAAUUUGAAGAUUAAUUAGAAGGAAAUUCGGAUUUGUUGGAUUGCUUGCACUUGACUCACUGUUUGGGCCAUAUUUUGAGUUCUAGAAGUCAGAAUUGGGUGAUCUUACAGCCCACGCGAAGCUUAGAGAAUUUUCUUUAAUUCAGAGGUGGUCCAAUAUCCAAAAUCCAACAGAAUCAGCCCAAAAACAGGACAGAAAACAGAGCUACGAAUUUUCCUUGGAGAAACCAAUUCCGUUUGGGAAACUGAUUUGUAUUUCCUUGUAAGCAUUAAAAUCAAUUAUAUUUAUAGGGAUAGACAGUAGAAAAAUAGAAUAUUGUAUAAUUAGGUUAGGUUAAAAACACUUUGUCUCAUCUUCUUCUUCAAGACUCCGGGAUUGAAGAAUUCAUUGUAUAAUCCAUCUUUAUUUUCUUUUAUAUAUCUAUUAUGCUAGAGUAGAUUUUAUUCUAGAGUUGAGUUGAACCCUAGUUGUGGUUGAUGCGUGAUUUUCGAUGAUCUCUGAUUGAUAAGGUUAUUUGCUCUUGCUUAUUGAGUUGUGCUAAAUAACAAUUACAGGUUAGACUUGAUUAUGUGUAUUGUUUGAACCGAUAUCUAUCUACCAUCGGAAGUUGGAUUUAGAUGGUUGUGAUUUAUCCAAUAAGGACAUGAACUUCUCCAUGGAAAUAGGUAGAAGGAAUUGUUUGGAAGUUAGGAUGCUGUGUUUAAUGUCUCUAAAUUGCAUGAUACCAUGGAAAUAGGCUUGAUUGUAUUUUAGAGAAGCCAAUAAUACUCGGAAGAGGUUAUUGGUAUUUUAUAGGGCGCAUCUUUCCUCUUGGGUAAUUUAUCUGAUUAAUUGGGGGAGGAAAUCAUAAUUGCAUUAAUUCAUGGUAGUGGGGAGACUUGAUUCUAGAUAUUUUUAGUUAAUUGUUUUCUAGAUUUUAUUUGUAUUAGUAUAAUAUUAGUUUAAUAAUCUCCAUAUUUUUAUUGUGUUACUUGUUAGUUGGAUUAAAUCGAGAAUAACUAGUGUUUGAUACGUUUGUCUCUGUGGGAACGACUCUGACUUACCCUACUACAUAAUUAGGAGGUUUCUUAGAUGUUUUAUUAUUCGAUAGGCACGCGACAGCCUUGUCAAGAUACUCAUGUUUCAAAUGAAGAUUUCAUCAUUAUUAUCAAAGUCAAGUACCCAAAUGAAUAAUUUCAGCAAAAAGAACAAAAACUCUAGUCACUCUUUUACACAUAGAAGUUUAAUCACCAUAUACAUAUCACUGAUCUUUUUAUAUUAAAAUAGUGCAAAUUUUAAGCUUAAAUUUAUGUACAGGAUUACACAGGUAAAACAUACAAAGAAGUGAGAAGAAUUAUAUCUUCUUACUAAAUCUCUCCAUAUGAAAAGACGUCUCAACACUCUUUAAAGCUUUGUUGGCUACUACUUGAAUUAGCUGCAGCGAGAAUAUCUAUGAUAUAAUCUAGUCUAGCCUCUGUAAUACUAUACUAAUAUGUGUGAUAUGCAGUGAGACACUUUGGGGUUCAAAUAUAUAAUCCAGAACGGUACAAUAGGUUUUUCUUAACGCAUAGCAAUUUAAUGCAGAAUAAAUUACAUAGCUUUACUCAUACACAUCGUAAAAAGACUGUCCAGAACCGUCGCCUAACCGAUAUAUGAAACCAAGCACAACUUCUAUACUAAACACAUACUAUAAUUCAAUUUCAAUUGCUGAUCUUAAGGGUUAUAACCCAAUUUUUGGCUUAAACUCAUGGAUAAUAUUCUUUUGGCAGAAAAAAAAGUGUAGUAUUAACCAUAUUCAAACUUAUAUACACACACCUCCUAGUUUCCAAGAACCAAAUCCAAUUACUAUCUCGGUUAAAUCAAGGUAAAAUAUGUUUCUUUCACUUUAUAGAAGUACUAAUUGUAUACUAUACAGGUUAAACAAACAAUAAACAGAAAACAAGCAUCCUCUAUAAUUUCAAAUAAACUAACAUUUAACAAUAUAUCUAAGGUAUUAUGUAUAGUUCAGAAGCACAAGAGAGCACAAUACUGGUCACAUGAUUUAAUUGAGACUAUUUAGAAUCACCGGGAGCUUGAAAAUGCAGAACAGAAGGUGGAGGAGCAGGA
This 12273-nucleotide long non-coding RNA is filed under the name Daucus carota (carrot). Its description in RNAcentral is "long non-coding RNA (DCAR_LNC003660)". Lineage: Eukaryota; Viridiplantae; Streptophyta; Magnoliopsida; Apiales; Apiaceae. The record is from RNAcentral.